GUGUAAGUUCCUCAUACGGACUCAUUAGUACUUAACAUAUAUAAAUUAUAACUUAAUUUCAGUAUAAGAAAACCAAAAGGAAUCGUCAACACGACUAAACGUGAAGAUUCCCUUCAUUAUUACGGGAAGAAUCUAAGACUUCAAAAACGUGUUUUCUAAUUCUUUUCAGAAAAAAAAUGGGAAACGAAAACUCCGUGCCAGUAGUUUCUCAGUAUAAGUCCCUAUGCCAAGCUCUUGCUGGCGAUGUUGAGGGAGCCCAGAGAACACAGGAGGAAUUUUCCAAGCGAUGUCCAAUCGUCUCCCAAGCUCGAUCUGCCGUAGAGGCAAUAUGUGGUAACGAAGAGGCGGCGGUAGAGACGCAGGUAGAAUUCGUCAGAGGAAUAGUCGAGAGUGCGAGAGGUUUCAGUGGUACUCACGCGUCAUCGAAAAAUGCUAUUUGUAAAAACUAAAUCUGGUAAUUUCCGCAGGAAUUUGUUGAAUGAAGGAACAAAUUAAUAUCCUUAAUGAAACUUUGUGAGACAACUUUACUGUUCUUUCUUGCGUUUGAUGAUUAAUUAUAUUUUUUUGUUUUCAAUUCAAUUUAACCAUGUUUUUUGCUGGAAAUUAAGUUUUGCUUGCUUAUAAAAGAAAGAUUUUUGUUGAA
Long non-coding RNA from Saccostrea cuccullata (small rock oyster), 643 nucleotides. RefSeq lists it as uncharacterized. The record is from RefSeq and is a predicted model, not a curated record. The transcript has 2 exons. NCBI's taxonomy places the organism in Eukaryota, Metazoa, Mollusca, Bivalvia, Ostreida, Ostreidae.